GACGAACGCUGGCGGCGUGCUUAACACAUGCAAGUCGAACGGUGAAAGCGGAGCUUGCUCCGCUGGAUCAGUGGCGAACGGGUGAGUAACACGUGGGCAACCUGCCCCUCACUUCGGGAUAACUCCGGGAAACCGGGGCUAAUACCGGAUAUGACCUCCUUGGGCAUCCUUGGAGGUGGAAAGUUUUUCGGUGAGGGAUGGGCCCGCGGCCUAUCAGCUUGUUGGUGAGGUAGUGGCUCACCAAGGCGACGACGGGUAGCCGGCCUGAGAGGGCGACCGGCCAGACUGGGACUGGGACACGGCCCAGACUCCUACGGGAGGCAGCAGUGGGGAAUAUUGCGCAAGGGGCGAAAGCCUGACGCAGCAACGCCGCGUGCGGGAUGACGGCCUUCGGGUUGUAGACCGCUUUCAGCAGGGAAGAAGCCGCAAGGUGACGGUACCUGCAGAAGAAGCACCGGCUAACUACGUGCCAGCAGCCGCCGCCG
RNAcentral lists this ribosomal RNA (485 nucleotides) under uncultured bacterium. RNAcentral describes it as "partial 16S ribosomal RNA". It matches the Rfam family "Bacterial small subunit ribosomal RNA", at positions 28 to 523 of the family's 1533-position model. The record is from RNAcentral.